Molecule: long non-coding RNA, 1342 nt
Organism: Medicago truncatula (barrel medic)
Lineage: Eukaryota; Viridiplantae; Streptophyta; Magnoliopsida; Fabales; Fabaceae
Exons: 2
Source: RefSeq, a predicted model, not a curated record
CUUAUAUAUGUUAACGUGAGGAGAGAUGACACGCGUGCGACGCUCAUUGGUCACUUCACCUUCUGCCCUAUCUAUCCUUUUUCCAAAUUUAUCAUUUACUUUACUAAACUUCAUUUUUCUUUCGGGUUAAGUUAAAAGAUAAAUUUGGUUUCAUUUAUUCUGAGCAAACAUGCAUUCUUGAUUCUGAAAUUUGGGACUGGCUGUAAUUAAACGUUAUCGCACUGUCCGUAGAUGUGCAGAUGGUCGAGCUAGAUAAAGAUGAGUUGAGGUUAACUUACCCGCACGGACUCUCCAUGUUAUUAUAGCAUCCAGUUGUGGGUUAUAUUCGGGGUACUAAGCUGACUUCAAAAGAGAUCGAUCAUAAAUAUUGAGGGCUUACACUCAUGAGCUAUCAGUCUGAUGUCGUUCGAUCAUCCAUUCUGGAGUCCCCAAAUGAAUUACCUAUAUGAAUUCAAAGUAUAAAGCCCUCUAUGGAGCCCAUUUAACAACUAUAUACAAGGUAGAAGUUACCUCCCAUUCACUAUUUACUAUUACUAGAUAUUAAUUCUGACUUGGACAUUAGAUUGCCUCUGUAGAUUCCUCCCCUCGGACUGAACCACCACCACAUAGAUUAUCAGCACCGGCUGAUUUACAUCCAACCUCCCUUGCGGUGAACUCAUCUUUUAAAACUAUAACAUUGAUCGUUAUACAAUUUGUUUUUGGUGGGUAUGUAACCCAAAUAUUCAUGCCGACAUUUUUAACCACCAUCGAUUGAGGAAAUUAGUUGGUUAAUGCGGCUAAAUUGAACGGGGAGCUUGUUUAAUUAUUAAAACAAUAUCUUGUUCCCACCUUUCCCCAAACUAAAAAAAACAUCUGCCAAGUGUUUUGAAUUUUUAUAGGACUCAAGCAGAAUUGAUUGAGCGCGCGCACGAGUGUGUCUAUAUAUACAUAGCCAGUGACAUAACUCUUCAAACGUCAAUAGUGGAAAAGUUUAAAACGAGCUACUUUUUCUUUGGGAGAAAUGUGAACCAAGUUUUUUGUGAGUCAUUGAAGCUUUUUGAAAUUGCGACAAUCAUGCAAAUGCGAUUGGAAAUAAACACAAAUUAAGUUGUGGAUAGAAAUCUAAUGUUCUCCUUGGUUACUAACACUCUUAUUUCAAACACAAUACAAAAAUGCCACGAUAAAUAUAAAAGCAAUCAUACACGACCAUAUUCAUCUAUGCACAAAUAAAUUAAAGAGAUCACUAAAAGUGGACUGUACUUAUGACUUUCACUUGACAUUUACAUUCAAAUACUGCUUCCUCAUUUUGAUUUGUAUGUCACUUGAGUACAACAAGACCAGGACGUGCAAGAUGGCCACCAAA